UUUACGAAAGAAAAAAAAUAGCCCAGCCACCCCGCAGUCCCGCACGACCUUGCCUCCUCGAUCCCACCUCGACAUCCAUCUCGCCGCCACCUCCUGCUCCGCCCCGCCGUGCGCCGCCCACCGCCACCGUGCCUGCGCCGCCGUACUCCCUAUCGACUCCGCUGUCCGAAUCCCGCCGCCGCCCCGCCUGCGUCCCUCCCCAAACUUUGCAUCAUCCUCCGCGAUCCAGAUCCAGAUCCCACCCCCCGCCCACCCCGCCCCAUGGGGGGCUGCCACGCCAAGCCGCACACCCGCCACGGCCGACGGCGCCUCCCGCCGCCGCCCGCGCCGGCCACGCCGCCUCCACCCUCCUCCACGGCGCCCGCCACGCCGGCCUCCAAGAAGCACUGGACGACAUCCCCCUUCUCCCCCUUCUCCACGCCCAGCCCCAGCCCGGCGCACCACUUCUUCUCCUCCUCCUCGGCGGCCUCCCUCAGGGCCUCCUCCAAACGCCGCGGAUCCCCACGGACGCCGCGGCAGGGCAUGGUCGCGUUAAUCGCAUGGAGGGUCGCGUCGAGGAAAGCGACGACCUCGCAGGCAUCGGGUCAAGCGGCUGGCCCUUCUUACGCGAUGGCGCCGUUCUUUUCUUCCCCGGCAGAGAUUGGUGCCGCCAUGGCCGCAUCAUGGAUUUUGUCUGCGUGCCAUCCGUGCCCCUCUGACGAUGCCCUGCAUCGCCACUGAUUUGGGAGUCUGUUAUUUUUUUUUUGCGCUGGAUCCUGAUUUGGGCGGGAUUUUUUUCCCAGGCAUUGAGAGCGCGCUGGACAGCGGGAACUGUCGCGUCAAGGAGGACGCUAUGGACAGUGGAUCCUGGGCGCUGCACGUUGCUGCCGGCCACGGGAGGAUGCCAUACCCUUUGGGCGCAACAAACUCUUGGCCAUAGCCUCUUCCGCUUUUCACAACAAGAAAGAGAUGCAUAUGAGAGGAAGAGAGCCUCCCCCAAGCUCUGUCUAGGCGAUGCACGGGAAAUUUGGAAAUUUGGAAACUAUCAAGGAGAUGUCGAAUGAUGAAUAUACUCAGAUACUGAGACACAUUCUAAAACGUGUUUACGCAGGUGAUGGGGCUGCUGCCAACUUGGGCCCGCUCAAGAACGGCGACUCUACAGGAGGGGGGUGGAGUCGCGGAAGCUCCUGUGCUAUUGGGAGCGACGGUUCCACAAUGAGCCGGUCUUUCGUCACCGGCGAGUUGGAGGAUAUCCAAGGCCGGAAGUGUUCGUCACCACUGAGCCGCGGCUGAGAUAAUACUGACGCGAUGUCCAGAUUUGGAUGUCUCAUCUCUGAACAUUUGAAACGCCGAGUACUCCAUGAAAGCUUGCCUAGCCCUUUUGCGCAAUAUUAUAUCUUUGGACGUUUGCACUUCCGCGGCUCUAGACAUGAGCUUCCUUAUAUGAGUGCUAGCGCGCUACAUUGCAGAGAAAGCUUUGAGAAAAUGCUUUGUUCGGAUGAUAGACAAGAAUAAUCAAUCCUCAUUCCAAGGCCAUGAGCAAAGAAUCUGGAGAGUGCCUGACGUUCCUCAACUUUUCUUAUGUUCCAAAUUCACUAUUAGUGUUGAUCAUCUUCAAAGAGCAUAAAACAGUUGCGAGCCGGCUGCGCCAUCAACGACGAUGGCGAGUUUGGAUUAGAAAUGCGAAGAUGAGAAGAUAGUUGGAGAGGAAGAAGGUAUAAAAUCAACAAUAGCGUCUGAUGUGCGUGCGGAUCCUAAUGGUACAUGUUUGACGCGAUCGGUGCUAACCUAAUAAGAUAUAUGCGGUGGCGCGAGGUGGGGCGGCAAUGAGGCGGUUGUGCUGCAUGAGGCAGCCAAGUCCAAGGCUGCACCGGGGAGGCUCCUGUUGGGGCGACGCAUGGGCGGCAGCCACCCCCAAGACCCUGUUAGCAUAAUGUCAUAACGAUAUAUUAAUAUUGAUUGUUGUGCAAAGGAGAAGGUUAUUGUUUGUAGUUAUAUUAGUUUAUUUCCUCAAUAUACAAUGACCUGGCUUAUUCUGUGUCCAAGAGGAAGGAAAAAUAUAUUUCUAGGUGUCAUGUGACUUACCUUUUAAAAGGAAUAAUCUCAUGCUA
This is a non-coding RNA of Triticum urartu, 2090 nucleotides long. NCBI's taxonomy places the organism in Eukaryota, Viridiplantae, Streptophyta, Magnoliopsida, Poales, Poaceae. The record is from RefSeq and is a predicted model, not a curated record.